GCCUUCUCCAUGACAGGAUGGCUUUGUCCACUUGUAGGAUGCUCUUUGUUCCAUGUUCUGCCUUUUGCUUCUAACUAAAAUCUCAAGUUGCCUGUUUCAGGAAUUGCAGGCAUCAUCAUGGUAACUACUUAAUUGGUCCAUAGGCUUUUCAUAAAGAUCCACCUGAAAGAUUUUCUUGUAACAUUAUUUUUCACUGCUGUAGUUUGUCAUGUGCUGAGUUGCUCUGUGCCAGUGCUGGCUGUGCACCUCUCUGGUCUUCCCUUUAGGGCUUGCAUCUUAUAGGUCCAGUAUAGUUGCACAACUGGGAUUCGGGGAUGGGUCCGGUUGCUUUACAGGGUGCAAACAGCAAGAUAGUCUCAGAGGAGGCCUGGCCCUAAUGAGUGACAACUAAGGGAGGGCAAGACACUAGGGUUGUUUCUAAUCACACCAUAAACCUGUCUUGAGUUCUCAGUGAUUGGGUGCCAAUUCCAUAGGACAUAUAUCAUUUCUAUCUUUUUUUUCUUUUCUACACAUGUUCUGAUUUUUAUUUCAUCCAUGACUUCCAGCCCUUAGCUGCUCCCAAGUUCUGGCCUCCAUGUGUCACUUGUUCCUUUCCAGUGCAACUUCUAGAGUGUUCUCUAACACUGACCCACAUGUAAUAUGUUAUCAGAUGUGCACAUGUUUUUAAAUAGUCCUUCCACACCUAGUAUUCAGUUCCCAUGGGUUUCUACUGGGCCUGGACACCAAUAAUCUUCUGUGCAGUGUACCAAAAUCCUCUCUUCUCAUCAAGGGAGGAGGUCCUGAUAAAAGCUUUUGGCAGAAUAGUGAGUCAGAGACCCUACAUAUUCUCUCUGAGUUGUGCCCCAUCUUUGCAUCUUUCAUCUCAUAAGGCCUCCCUUGUUCUGUGACUUGUAGAGGCUUUUUUCCCCAAAUUUUCACCAGCUCUCAUAUCCUAAAAACAUUUUCUUAGACUCAUUCUUUGACACACAUUUUUGAUGUAACUUCUCACACCAUAGUAAACCUACAUUUUCUCAGCAUUUCUCUUCUUUCAGGUUGCUGGUGUGGAGCAGAAGAUGAGGGGGCACCUUCUGCAGACAGCAUUUCUGUGGAAGAACUGUCACAGGGCAGGACUCCAAAGGCAGAUACAUCCACUGAUAAGAGUCACCCCUGUGAGAUUUGUACCCCAGUCCUGAGAGACAGUUUACAAAUGAUUGAGCUCCAAGCCUCACCCUGUGGACAGAAAUUGUACUUGGGUGGGGCAUCAAGAGAUUUCUGGAUGAGUUCAAACCUUCACCAGCUCCAGAAGCUUGAUAAUGGAGAGAAGCUAUUUAAAGUGGAUGGGGACCAGGCCUCAUUUAUGAUGAACUGCAGGUUCCAUGUGUCAGGAAAACCCUUCACGUUUGGGGAAGUUGGGAGGGACUUUUCAGCCACCUCAGGACUUCUCCAGCAUCAGGUGACUCCCAGCAUUGAGAGACCACACAGCAGGAUUAGACACUUGAGAGUUCCCACUGGACGAAAGCCUCUCAAAUACACUGAACCCAGGAAAUGUUUUAGAGAGAAAUCUGUAUUCAUUCAACACCAAAGAGCUGACUCUGGAGAAAGGCCUUACAAGUGCAGUGAAUGUGGGAAAUCCUUUAGUCAAAGUUCUGGCUUUCUUCGACACAGGAAAGCACACAAUAGAACAAGGACUCAUGAAUGUAGUGAAUGUGGGAAAUCAUUUAGUCGCAAAACUCACCUAACUCAACACCAAAGAGUUCACACUGGAGAAAGGCCUUAUGACUGCAGCGAAUGUGGCAAAUCCUUCCGCCAGAUAUCUGUCCUCAUUCAACAUCAACGAGUUCACACUGGAGAAAGGCCUUAUGAGUGCAGUGAAUGUGGGAAAUCUUUUAGCCACAGCACUAACCUCUAUCGUCACAGGAGUGCCCACACUAGCACAAGGCCUUAUGAGUGCAGUGAAUGUGGAAAAUCCUUUAGCCAUAGCACUAACCUCUUUCGACACUGGAGAGUUCACACUGGAGCAAGGCCUUAUGAGUGUAGUGAAUGUGGGAAAGCAUUUAGUUGCAAUAUCUACCUCAUUCACCACCAAAGAUUUCACACUGGAGAAAGGCCUUAUGUGUGCAGUGAAUGUGGGAAAUCAUUUGGCCAGAAAUCUGUCCUCAUUCAACACCAAAGAGUUCACACUGGAGAAAGGCCUUAUGAGUGCAGUGAAUGUGGGAAAGUUUUUAGCCAAAGCUCUGGCCUCUUUCGACACAGAAGAGCUCACACUAAAACAAAGCCUUAUGAGUGCAGUGAAUGUGAAAAAUCAUUUAGUUGCAAAACUGACCUCAUUCGACACCGGACAGUUCACACUGGAGAAAGGCCUUAUGAGUGCAGUGUAUGUGGGAAAUCUUUUAUCCGAAAAACCCACCUCAUUCGACACCAGACUGUUCACACUAAUGAAAGGCCUUAUGAGUGCGAUGAAUGUGGGAAAUCCUAUAGCCAAAGCUCUGCCCUCCUUCAGCAUAGGAGAGUUCACACUGGAGAAAGGCCUUAUGAGUGCAGCGAAUGUGGGAAAUCUUUUACCCGCAAAAAUCACCUCAUUCAACACAAGACAGUUCAUACUGGAGAAAGGCCUUAUGAAUGCAGUGAAUGUGGGAAAUCUUUUAGUCAAAGUUCUGGCCUCUUAAGACACAGAAGAGUUCAUGUGCAGUGAAUGUGGGAAAUUAUUUUGUCACCUUUUUUUUUUUUUUUUGAGAUGGAAUUUUGCUCUUGUCACCCAGGCUGGAGUGCAAUGAUGCAAUCUCAGCUCACUGCAACCUCUGCCUCCUGGGAUCAAGUGAUUCUCCUGCCACAGCCUCCUGAGUACCUGAGAUUACAGGCACCCACCACCAUGCCCAGCUAAUUUUUGUAUUUUUAAUAGAAACAAGGUUUCACCACGUUGGUCGGGCUGGUGUUGAACUCCUGACCUCAGGUAAUCCACCUGCUUCAGCCUACCAAAGUGCUGGGAUUACAGGCGUGAGCCACCAUGUCCGGCUUGUUUUGUCACAUUUAACACAAGAUUUCCGAAAGAAGAAAGGCCUUAUAUAUGCUGUGAAUGUGUUUUUGUUUGUUUGUUUGUUUUAACUUGGUAUGACGGCACUGGAGGCUAGCCUUUGAGAAGAGCCUUCUCUGAUGUGACUCAUGUAUCCAAACAUCCAUGGAUUUCCCAUAAAUUUGAGGUAUGUGGGAAGCAUGUGUAGCUAUGUUGUACUCUCUAAACCUGCCCAGGGACCUUGCCAGAUUCAUGUCACUGCCAGUUUCUGCGGCUGAAGCCUUUUCAUCUCUACCCGCUGGGAGACCCACAGAGUGUGCAUCAGUCACCACCCCAACAUGCUCAGGGAGGCAGACUUCUUCCAUUAGUUGGAGGAAAGCGUGAGUAGUCUAAGCUCUUAGGGGGGUUUCUCAUUUCCUCCUGUGGCUACAUAGUGCAUGUAACUACCCCAGUGUUGGCCCCAGGACCUGAUCUGAGUUCUGUUGGCAGCUUCCAGAGGAUUGCCUUUUUUGAGGACAUUGUUGAUCUCAGGCGAUGCUUGUGAUGAAGCAUUUUUUAGCUUCCACCACGUACCAGGAACUGCCUGUUAACUGGCUUGUGCAAUGAUAAAGGCCUUUUGUUUAAGUACCUUUAAUCUUGUAAGUUGUAUUAACUGUGGAGUAGUUUGGAAACAUAAUAGGACUCUGUCAGCUUAAAAGGGUGUAUAACAUUUGUGGAGAUUCAAAUUUUGUUUGCCUCAGAGGGGACACUAUGCUGACAGAAUAUAGCUUUUGCUCCAUUUUGGGCCUAUUUUGCAUUGUUACCAAGGCCUUCUAGGAGACACUGCAGGGCUUUCUGGCUCUGAUUUUUGCCUGCAUGUGGGCUCAGAGGUCAUUCUGCAGAGGGGGCAGUUGUGACAACUUCCGUUGUUUCUGGAGACAACACUUAAGUUUUUCUUGUUGAGUGAGGAUAUCACAUAAUGCCCUGCAAUGUUUAGAAUCCCUUAAUGAGGUCCUAUGAAGGAGGUGUGUCCCUUGAAACACAGAAUUCAGUGAGCUAGUGUCCCUAGCUGUAAAACCAUGGGGCUGGAGCGAAACAUAAUUGGUAAAGAAACGCUGGGUUGAAUAAUAGGGAAUGGAGGAGACUGCAGCAAAUUAGAUGGACUGUUCCUCAUAUAAAGUUUCAUCCGGCCAGGCGCAGUGGCUCACACCUUUAAUCCUAGCACUUUGGGAGGCCAAGGUGGGUGGAUCACAAGGUCAGGAGUUCAAGAACAGCCUGGCCAAGAUGGUGAAACCCUGGAGGGCUGAGGCAGAGAAUUGCUUGAACUUGGGAGGCAGAGGUUGCAGUGAGCCGAGAUCACACCACUGCACUCCAGCUCAGGCGACAGAGCGAGACUCUGUCUC
This 4371-nucleotide small RNA is filed under the name Pongo abelii (Sumatran orangutan). RNAcentral describes it as "retained intron". The record is from RNAcentral. Lineage: Eukaryota; Metazoa; Chordata; Mammalia; Primates; Hominidae.